This 381-nucleotide long non-coding RNA is filed under the name Gossypium barbadense (sea-island cotton). RNAcentral describes it as "long non-coding RNA (GBAR_LNC021351)". The record is from RNAcentral. Lineage: Eukaryota; Viridiplantae; Streptophyta; Magnoliopsida; Malvales; Malvaceae.
AUUAAGUAAAUUCUCUCCCAACUCAUUUUAGCUAUGCAAGUGAAAAUUCACAUUCAACUCUCAGAUGGUUUUCCUACUAUGAAUCAAGCUCUUAAUAAGCUCCAUGUAAAGUGGAAUAAUGAAUUUUCCAAUGCAAUAUGUCUCGCAAUUGUCAUGCUUGAACAACGACUCUUCCAAAACCAUCAAUGAACCUGAAAAUUAUAAAUUGCCAACAUAGAAUAUGUUACAAAUCCCAUUAUUAUCAGCCUUAUAUUUGCACAUAUGUGUGUUUAGUAUAAUGCUGUUGAUGUAUAAAUAAUGAAACAUUUUAGCAACUUCAACCUCACCACCAAAUAUUCUGAAGUAUUUUCCUUUUUUUCCUGUUUGGACCUUCAAUAACAA